GCUAGUAAUCGCAGAUCAGCAUGCUGUGGUGAAUACGUUCCCGGGCCUUGUACACACCGCCCGUCACACCAUGGGAGUCGGAAAUGCCCGAAGUCUGUGACCCAACCUUAGGGAGGGAGCAGCCGAAGGCAGGUCGGAUGACUGGGUGAAGUCGUAACAAGGUAAC
Molecule: ribosomal RNA, 166 nt
Filed under: uncultured bacterium
Lineage: Bacteria
Description: partial 16S ribosomal RNA
Rfam family: Bacterial small subunit ribosomal RNA
Source: RNAcentral